GCAGUCUGUGAACAGCACUUUCUACACUCCUCGCCGGCAAGCAGGCUCGUGUCGAGGGUAGCAGAUUCCACUGGCGAUUCCACUGGUGCUGUGAGCCAUCUGCUGGCUUUGCACCUCUUAGAAUCUGGUGUUUUUUUGUUUUUUGUUUUGUUUUGUUUUUAAUCCUUUUCCGGGUAACCAGAAAGGGAAGCUCAAUUCCCUUAACCCCGAGACCACUAAAGGGGCAAUACAAAAAGAGGAAAUAAAUACAUUUUUAAGCAUACAAGAGCUUCACAAUCCAGUAGAUCAUUUUGUAUUCUGGAUUCAUUUUGCUUUGUAUUCAUAUGCUAAUCUCUUCCUUUCCACGAAGGGAUUAUAGGGUUCCACAAUGGGGUAUCUGUGUAAUUUUCUAAAAGGGCACAAAGGGUUUAAAUCAUUGUUUCUUUGUAGUUGGAGGCAAGGGAGAGCAGGAGGAAUGAAAAUUUACACUGAAGGUUUUUUUUUUUUUAAUUAAACUGAAACUUCAUACCCAAUAAAAAUAAAUGUCCUUUCCCUCCUCCUUCCAUCCCUUGAUAACCACUGUUCUGUUUUCUGUCUCUACGAACUUGACUAUUCUAGGUACCUCAUAUAAGUGGGAUUGUACUGUAUUUGUCUUUUUGUGACUAGCUUUUUUGCAUAAUGUCUUCAGAGUAGCAUACAUCAGAAUUUCCCUCUUUUUUAAGGCUGACUAAUAUUCCAUUAUAUGUAUAUACCACAUUUUGUUCAUUCACUCAGCAACGGACAUAUGGACUGUUUCCUCAAUGUAUGUUACGUUUUUGAAUUUUUAAAAUGUGGCUUGAAUUCCUACAACAGGACAACAUUAAAGGAACAAGAAGCUUGAAAGCAAAAAGUUUAUGCUAUGAAAUUAAUGAAUGUCAAUGCAAAAGCUUAUUUAAAACGUAAAAGCUGGUUUCCAAUAACAAAUGUCAUUGAAUCCUGAAAACCAUGACCAAAUUUUGGCAUGUUCUAUACAGUAAGGAUUUGUGUUGCCUUGUUAAAUUUUAUUUUAUUUUAUUUUGAGAUGGAGUUUUGUCCUUGUUGCCCAGGCUGGAGUGCAAUGGCAUGAUCUCAGCCCACCGCA
This 1099-nucleotide long non-coding RNA is filed under the name Homo sapiens (human). Its description in RNAcentral is "HSALNT0389251". Lineage: Eukaryota; Metazoa; Chordata; Mammalia; Primates; Hominidae. The record is from RNAcentral.